CCGGCCCCUCACACCACCAGUUAAGGAAGGGAGAACAACACCGGAGAGAUGUCCCAGUCCUCUUCUUCCUCAGGAUGGUUCAGAAGAACAUCACAAUGUCCCACAGGAUGAUCAGGUAGAUGGAGAUAAGGGUAUCAUGAUGGAGGAUCGCUGGCCCCUCACACCACCAGAUGACUGGACCAGGAGCUCAGAGGAACAUCUGGCAUCUUCAGAUGUUAAAGCAGAUGACCAUGGUG
Bufo bufo (common toad) is the source of this 236-nucleotide long non-coding RNA. RefSeq lists it as uncharacterized. NCBI's taxonomy places the organism in Eukaryota, Metazoa, Chordata, Amphibia, Anura, Bufonidae. The record is from RefSeq and is a predicted model, not a curated record. The transcript is spliced from 3 exons.